Long non-coding RNA from Sorex araneus (European shrew), 1036 nucleotides. RefSeq lists it as uncharacterized. NCBI's taxonomy places the organism in Eukaryota, Metazoa, Chordata, Mammalia, Eulipotyphla, Soricidae. The transcript is spliced from 4 exons. The record is from RefSeq and is a predicted model, not a curated record.
GCUGAGCAGAGGGGGAAGGCUGAUGUUUGGGGGAGGCUGGCCCAGGGAAGCAAGGGGGAGGAGCCGAUUCCCCCACUGGGGCAGUACUAAUCCCAUGUGGAGCCCAGGGGUCACUCCUGGCUCUGCACUCAGGGCUCACUUCUGACUGGGCCAGGUCAGGACCAUAUGUGGUGCCAGGGAUCUAACCAGGGUCAGCUGUGUGCAAGAGUUUGAGAGGGAGACAGCUUCCAGAACUGUCUCCAGUGACUCUGAGGCGCUGAAUACAAUCUCCAGCCAACCACAGGCAACUUACUCAGAAUUACUCCUGGCAGUGCUCAAGGGACCAGAUGGGAUGCAAGGGGAUUGAACCCAGGUCGGCCAUGUGCAAGCAGAAUAUCCUGCCCCCCUCACCAGGCUGUCUUCACCAGGGCCCACUAGGAGGGGAGUGGGUUGAGUUUCCUUUCCUGCCCCAAGCAAAGCCCCAGCAGCCAAAAACCUCCAGAACCCAACCACAGCCAUGCUCAAGAUCACUCUCCACAUGCUCGGAUGAGCCUCACCCAUGAAGGAACGGACAGAGGAACCUUGGUGUGCGGGACCCGUGACUGAGAUUUCCAAGCCUGCUCAGAUCAGGACUGGGCCUCCUCCACCCAGAUCCCCAGUUUUCCAGUAACUUGGCAGUCAAACCCACAAACUGCCCCCAGAACCAUGUAAUCUCAUUGAUGGUCAAGAUCCAGAGACUAUAAAACCAACCUCUGGGAAGAGAGCGACGCAGUUUUUCCUGGAGCUCUCGACGCCACUCGCAGACAUGAGACCUCUUUUUUUCUUCUUUUUUUUCCUCCAAGCCAGAGCCUGGCAAGCUACUCGUGACAUAUUUGAUAUGCCAAAAAACAGUAACAACAACGUGAUCUUCAUGUUCCUGGAAUGAGCAGAUGCUAUUGGGCAACACUAGCAUGUGACAGGGACGAAUGGAGACAUUACUGGUGCCCACUCAAGUAAAUCCAUGAACAAUGGGAUGACAGUGAUACAGUGAUACAGUGAUAAUCAUUUUAACAUUUUA